RNAcentral lists this non-coding RNA (25 nucleotides) under Drosophila melanogaster (fruit fly). Lineage: Eukaryota; Metazoa; Arthropoda; Insecta; Diptera; Drosophilidae. The record is from RNAcentral.
UCUUGAUUUAAAGGAGACGUCCUGC